GACGAACGCUGGCGGCGCGCUUAACACAUGCAAGUCGAGCGAUGAAACUUUAACAGAACCCUUCGGGGCGAAGCUAAAGUGGAUUAGCGGCGGACGGGUGAGUAACCCGUUAGUAACCUGCCUUAGACAUUGGGAUAGCCUCAGGAAACCGGGAUUAAUACAAAAUCAAAUCAUAAUGACACAUGUCAUAACGAUCAACACUCCGUUGGUCUAAGGGGGAGGCUCGUCCCGUUAGCGAGUUGGUAGAGUAAAAGCCUACCAAGGCGGAGAUGGGUAGCCGGCAUGGGAGGGUGAACGGCCACAUUAGAACUGGGAAACGUACCGAAUUCCUCGGGGAAGGAGAAGGGGGGAAUAUUGCACGAUGGAGGGAUCUCUGAUGCAGCCACGCCGCGUGAACCAAGAAGGCUUGCAAGUCGUAAAUUUCUGUUAUAGGGGAAGACAAUGCCGGUACCAUAAGAAAAAGCCCCGGCUAACUACGUG
RNAcentral lists this ribosomal RNA (480 nucleotides) under uncultured bacterium. RNAcentral describes it as "partial 16S ribosomal RNA". It matches the Rfam family "Bacterial small subunit ribosomal RNA", at positions 28 to 507 of the family's 1533-position model. The record is from RNAcentral.